GCCCGGGUGAUGAAAUUGGUAGACGUAGGGGACUCAAAAUCCCCCGCCGCAAGGCGUGUCGGUUCGAGUCCGACCCCGGGCACCA
Molecule: transfer RNA, 85 nt
Filed under: Chitinimonas sp. BJB300
Lineage: Bacteria; Pseudomonadati; Pseudomonadota; Betaproteobacteria; Neisseriales; Chitinibacteraceae
Also listed under: 4 other names
Description: tRNA-Leu
Rfam family: tRNA
About the family: Transfer RNA (tRNA) molecules are approximately 80 nucleotides in length. Their secondary structure includes four short double-helical elements and three loops (D, anti-codon, and T loops).
Source: RNAcentral